UAAUUGCAUUUAUCGGAAAGCAUCAGUUGCUCGCCUCGUUUGCCACUGGGCAGGCCUGUUAUUAAAAUAUGCAUAAAAUGUUAUUUACGCGCUAGAAAAGAAAGUACGGCGAUUGAGGAAUAAAUUCAGAAAGGCUAGAGUAAAACAGCAUCUUCAGAACCAAUACCAGAUGUAGACGAAAUGUUCGGGCUGUGAAACGUACUGUGCCCUUCAACAGUUAUUGAAUCCUCGUUCUGUACUUCUAACACUCCGGCGCUGAUGAUGAUAUAAUCGUCGAAAGCUCGGGACAAACUUAAAGAAAUGUCGUUUCUCUUGUGACCUCACCGAAGAUCUAUUCGUGUUGUUCAACAAACAGGUCGAUAC
Molecule: long non-coding RNA, 363 nt
Organism: Cimex lectularius (bed bug)
Lineage: Eukaryota; Metazoa; Arthropoda; Insecta; Hemiptera; Cimicidae
Exons: 3
Source: RefSeq, a predicted model, not a curated record